AAUCCUUUAACGAGGAUCUAUUGGAGGGCAAGUCUGGUGCCAGCAGCCGCGGUAAUUCCAGCUCCAAUAGCGUAUAUUAAAGUUGUUGUGGUUAAAAAGCUCGUAGUUGGAUCUCAGUUCGAGUCAGGCGGUCCACUUGCCAGUGGCUACUGCCUGACUGAACACUUUACCGAGUUGUCCUAUGGUGUUCUUCACCGAGCGUCAUAGGCGAUCGGUACGUUUACUUUGAAAAAAUUAGAGUGCUCAAAGCAGGCGUAACGCCCGAAUAAUGUUGCAUGGAAUAAUGGAAUAGGACCUCGGUUCUAUUUUGUUGGUCUUCGGAAUCAGAGGUAGUGAUCAAUAGGGACAGACGGGGACAUUCGUAUUGCGGCGCUAGAGGUGAAAUUCUUGGACCGUCGCAAGACGAACUAAAGCGAAAGCAUUUGUCAAGAAUGUUUUCAUUAAUCAAGAACGAAAGUUAGAGGUUCGAAGGCGAUCAGAUACCGCCCUAGUUCUAACCAUAAACGAUGCCAACCAGUAAUUCGUCUGAGUUCCUUAAAUGACUCGACGAGGGACUUCCGGGAAACCAAAGUCUUUCGGUUCCAGGGGAAGUAUGGUUGCAAAGCUGAAACUUAAAGAAAUUGACGGAAGGGCACCACCAGGAGUGGAGCCUGCGGCUUAAUUUGACCCAACACGGGAAAACUCACCCGGCCCGGACACUGGAAGGAUUGACAGAUUGAGAGCUCUUUCUUGAUUCAGUGGGUGGUGGUGCAUGGCCGUUCUUAGUUGGUGGAGUGAUUUGUCUGGUUAAUUCCGAUAACGAACGAGACUCUAGCCUACUAAAUAGAUCGUCGGCUUACAAACGCCGGCGAGACUUCUUAGAGGGACAGGCGGUGAUUCAACCGCACGAAACAGAGCAAUAACAGGUCUGUGAUGCCCUUAGAUGUCCGGGGCCGCACGCGCGCUACACUGAAGUGAUCAGCGUGCUUUUUCAACCUACUCUGUCAAGAGUGGGGAACCCAAUGAACCUUCUUCGUGAUUGGGAUAGGGGAUUGUAAUUAUUCCCCUUGAACGAGGAAUUCCCAGUAAGCGCGAGUCAUAAGCUCGCGUUGAUUACGUCCCUGCCCUUUGUACACACCGCCCGUCGCUACUACCGAUUGAAUGUUUUAGUGAGGUCUUCGGACUGGCCGGCGCAGCACUCUCGUAGUGCAGCGCUGUGUUUGGAAAGAUGCCCAAACUUGAACAUUUAGAGGAAGUAAAAGU
This 1242-nucleotide ribosomal RNA is filed under the name metagenome. RNAcentral describes it as "SSU rRNA". It matches the Rfam family "Eukaryotic small subunit ribosomal RNA", at positions 528 to 1789 of the family's 1831-position model. The record is from RNAcentral.